GAUGAACGCUGGCGGCGUGCCUAAUACAUGCCAGUCGAGCGAACAGAUGAGGAGCUUUCUCCUCUUACGUUAGCGGCGGACGGGUGAGUAACACGUGGAUACCCUACCUAUAAGACUGGGAUAACUUCGGGAACCCGGAGCUAAUACCGGAUAAUAUAUUGAACCGCAUGGUUCAAUAGUGAAAGACGGUUUUGCUGUCACUUAUAGAUGGAUCCGCGCCGCAUUAGCUAGUUGGUAAGGUAACGGCUUACCAAGGCAACGAUGCGUAGCCGACCUGAGAGGGUGAUCGGCCACACUGGAACUGAGACACGGUCCAGACUCCUACGGGAGGGCGCAGUAGGGAAACUUCCGCAAUGGGGGAAAGCCUGACGGAGCAACGGCGCGUGAGUGAUGAAGGUCUUCGGAUCGUAAAACUCUGUUAUUAGGGAAGAACAAAUGUGUAAUUAACUAUGCACGUCUUGACGGUACCUAAUCAGAAAGCCACGGCUAACUACGUG
RNAcentral lists this ribosomal RNA (497 nucleotides) under uncultured bacterium. RNAcentral describes it as "partial 16S ribosomal RNA". It matches the Rfam family "Bacterial small subunit ribosomal RNA", at positions 28 to 507 of the family's 1533-position model. The record is from RNAcentral.